Molecule: ribosomal RNA, 439 nt
Filed under: uncultured bacterium
Lineage: Bacteria
Description: partial 16S ribosomal RNA
Rfam family: Bacterial small subunit ribosomal RNA
Source: RNAcentral
CUACGGGAGGCUGCCGUGAGGAAUAUUGCACAAUGGGGGGAACCCUGAUGCAGCAACGCCGCGUGGAGGAUGACGCAUUUCGGUGUGUAAACUCCUUUUAUAUGUCAAGAAAAUGACGGUAGCAUAUGAAUAAGCACCGGCUAACUCCGUGCCAGCAGCCGCGGUAAUACGGAGGGUGCAAGCGUUACUCGGAAUCACUGGGCGUAAAGGACGCGUAGGCGGGUUGGAAAGUCAGGUGUGAAAUCCUACAGCUUAACUGUAGAACUGCACUUGAAACUUCUAAUCUAGAGUAUGGGAGGGGGAGAUGGAAUUAGUGGUGUAGGGGUAAAAUCCGUAGAUAUCACUAGGAAUACCUAAAGCGAAGGCGAUCUCCUGGAACAUUACUGACGCUAAGGCGUGAAAGCGUGGGGAGCAAAUAGGAUUAGAUACCCGAGUAGUC